GGAUGAGUGAAGUGGCACUGUCCAGCCCUGAUACAAUAAGUUCUCCUCCCAGGUUCUGAACUUCUGCCUUGACUUUGCUGCAGAUGUUGAGCUGGUGGCAGUAGAGGGCAAUGCGCUGUAGGUAGGCUAGCAGGUCCUGUUUGCAGGCUGAGUCAGGGCACUGAUCAGCUACUGCCCGUGCAAGUUUGUCCAUCCUUGAUCCUGCCUCUGCAAUCUUCUUGGCUGCAUUAAUGACAUCAGAUGUAUUCUUCAGUGGGCCUUUACCUCUAGUGAAGUCUGUCAUUUCCAUCAUAAUCAUGCACAUCUGUUUUGCCAACACAAUGAUGUCAUUACCGCUGUCAUCCCACUUGGCUACCUCUGCAUCCAGUUUGCUCUUUUC
Molecule: long non-coding RNA, 379 nt
Filed under: Gallus gallus (chicken)
Lineage: Eukaryota; Metazoa; Chordata; Aves; Galliformes; Phasianidae
Source: RNAcentral